This 452-nucleotide ribosomal RNA is filed under the name Klebsiella quasipneumoniae subsp. similipneumoniae. RNAcentral's name for it is "bacterial SSU rRNA". It matches the Rfam family "Bacterial small subunit ribosomal RNA", at positions 1 to 451 of the family's 1533-position model. The record is from RNAcentral. Lineage: Bacteria; Pseudomonadati; Pseudomonadota; Gammaproteobacteria; Enterobacterales; Enterobacteriaceae.
AAAUUGAAGAGUUUGAUCAUGGCUCAGAUUGAACGCUGGCGGCAGGCCUAACACAUGCAAGUCGAGCGGUAGCACAGAGAGCUUGCUCUCGGGUGACGAGCGGCGGACGGGUGAGUAAUGUCUGGGAAACUGCCUGAUGGAGGGGGAUAACUACUGGAAACGGUAGCUAAUACCGCAUAACGUCGCAAGACCAAAGUGGGGGACCUUCGGGCCUCAUGCCAUCAGAUGUGCCCAGAUGGGAUUAGCUAGUAGGUGGGGUAACGGCUCACCUAGGCGACGAUCCCUAGCUGGUCUGAGAGGAUGAUCAGCCACACUGGAACUGAGACACGGUCCAGACUCCUACGGGAGGCAGCAGUGGGGAAUAUUGCACAAUGGGCGCAAGCCUGAUGCAGCCAUGCCGCGUGUAUGAAGAAGGCCUUCGGGUUGUAAAGUACUUUCAGCGGGGAGGAAGG